GACAGAGGGUGCAAACGUUGUUCGGAAUUACUGGGCGUAAAGCGCGUGUAGGCGGCCGGGCAUGUCGGAUGUGAAAUCCCGUGGCUCAACCACGGAAGUGCACCCGAAACUGCCCAGCUGGAGUCUCGGAGAGGAAGGCGGAAUGCUUGGUGUAGAGGUGAAAUUCGUAGAUAUCAAGCGGAACACCGGUGGCGAAGGCGGCCUUCUGGACGAUGACUGACGCUGAGACGCGAAAGCGUGGGGAGCAAACGGG
Molecule: ribosomal RNA, 253 nt
Filed under: uncultured bacterium
Lineage: Bacteria
Description: partial 16S ribosomal RNA
Rfam family: Bacterial small subunit ribosomal RNA
Source: RNAcentral